Molecule: long non-coding RNA, 773 nt
Filed under: Brassica napus (rape)
Lineage: Eukaryota; Viridiplantae; Streptophyta; Magnoliopsida; Brassicales; Brassicaceae
Description: long non-coding RNA (BNAP_LNC018575)
Source: RNAcentral
CAUGAAUCCAAAUAUGACUACUCACUCAUUAUUAUGGUAGAUACUAAAUCAUUAGUUGAUCUAAGUCUAAACAUGAUUAAUGAUCAAAGCAAUCAAAAAAACAAAAAAAGAAAAUGAUCAAAAUUUGAUCUUUCACCCAAAAGUGGCUUUUGAUUAGAUAGAUAACAAGAUAAUCCCCUGAGAUUAGGUUUAUUAUAAUGGCAUAGAAACACAAGGAUAAAAUAGACGUGAAGGCUCUCCAAAGUGGCUCUUGGUCUCGCCAUCUCCGCUCAGUCCGUCCCCGUCGAAAUCAAGCUUCAGUCACGACCAAUCUCUGCUCAACCUCCAUGGCGUCAUUGUCUCCAUCUCCGCCGCUUGCGCCACCACGAACCCCGUCUUCACUGCGGCGUACUCUGAUCAAUCCGAGGCCGACGCCGGCUGUGCUCAGAAUCGCCGCCGUGGUCUCAGCUCGAGACGUGACAGCACGUCCUGAAGCCCCGGAGCCGUCGCUUCUCACCGUCGCAGCCAUCGCUUCUCGUCACGGAGAAAAGAUCGAACAGCAAUGGAGAUGUUCCAUCAAUUUGCGACCUUGAUCCCUGGAGUUUCCUCUCUUUUCAAUUCGGCCCCAAACAUUUGGAUUUGCACAAAGGACCUCUCGAAUUGACCCAGAAUCUUUCAAUUGAACAUUUCAGACCCCUCAUAUUUGCAUAAUGGUCUCCCGUCUCUUGAUAGUUCUCUAUUCGGCCACAAACUUUGUAAAUUGCACGAUUAACCUCACAAUUUCAGCCCAAACU